UAGUGGCGAACGGGUGAGUAACACGUGGGCAAUCUGCCCUUCACUCUGGGACAAGCCCUGGAAACGGGGUCUAAUACCGGAUAACACCUGCCCGGGCAUCUGGGUGGGUUAAAAGCUCCGGCGGUGAAGGAUGAGCCCGCGGCCUAUCAGCUUGUUGGUGAGGUAGUGGCUCACCAAGGCGACGACGGGUAGCCGGCCUGAGAGGGCGACCGGCCACACUGGGACUGAGACACGGCCCAGACUCCUACGGGAGGCAGCAGUGGGGAAUAUUGCACAAUGGGCGAAAGCCUGAUGCAGCGACGCCGCGUGAGGGAUGACGGCCUUCGGGUUGUAAACCUCUUUCAGCAGGGAAGAAGCGAAAGUGACGGUACCUGCAGAAGAAGCGCCGGCUAACUACGUGCCAGCAGCCGCGGUANUACCGUAGGGCGCAAGCCGUUGUCCGGAAUUAUUGGGCGUAAAGAGCUCGUAGGCGGCUUGUCACGUCGGGUGUGAAAGCCCGGGGCUUAACCCCGGGUCUGCAUUCGAUACGGGCUAGCUAGAGUGUGGNAGGGGNAGAUCGGAAUUCCU
RNAcentral lists this ribosomal RNA (567 nucleotides) under Streptomyces sp. 316D08. RNAcentral's name for it is "bacterial SSU rRNA". It matches the Rfam family "Bacterial small subunit ribosomal RNA", at positions 93 to 671 of the family's 1533-position model. Lineage: Bacteria; Bacillati; Actinomycetota; Actinomycetes; Kitasatosporales; Streptomycetaceae. The record is from RNAcentral.